GGGCCCGCACAAGCGGCGGAGCAUGCGGAUUAAUUCGAUGCAACGCGAAGAACCUUACCAAGGCUUGACAUAUAGAGGAAAAGUGCAGAAAUGCACUCCCCGCAAGGUCUCUAUACAGGUGGUGCAUGGUUGUCGUCAGCUCGUGUCGUGAGAUGUUGGGUUAAGUCCCGCAACGAGCGCAACCCUCGUCCUAUGUUGCCAGCACGUAAUGGUGGGAACUCAUGGGAUACUGCCGGGGUCAACUCGGAGGAAGGUGAGGAUGACGAUCAAAUCAUCCAUGCCCUUAUGUGCUUGGGCUUCACGCAUGCUACAAUGGCCGGUACAGAGGGCUGCAAUACCGCAAGGUGGAGCGAA
Molecule: ribosomal RNA, 354 nt
Filed under: uncultured bacterium
Lineage: Bacteria
Description: bacterial SSU rRNA
Rfam family: Bacterial small subunit ribosomal RNA
Source: RNAcentral